GUCACCAACUCAUCAGAAAUAAAGGCUUGGGAUACAGAGGACCCGUACUACCAGGAGGCAGCUCUGCAGACACAUAUAUGCAUGGCAGAAGUGGCUUCAGAAGACAAGGACCUUUCGGGGUGUCGUCCAGCUACCCAAUGAAAUCGGGACUACAAGCAUCUGUUGUUUAUCAGCGUCCGUUUUACGAUUCCUUGGUCAAUGUCUAUAGCGCAGAGAGCA
Molecule: long non-coding RNA, 219 nt
Organism: Molossus molossus (Pallas's mastiff bat)
Lineage: Eukaryota; Metazoa; Chordata; Mammalia; Chiroptera; Molossidae
Exons: 3
Source: RefSeq, a predicted model, not a curated record